CAAAUUUUAAAUCUACCUGGUUUCCAGGUCGAGUUGUAAUUUGAAGAAGUGUUUUUUACUUUCCGGGUUGGGUUAAAUCCUUUGGGAUAAGGUAUCAUGGAGGGUGAGAAUCCCGUGUAUACCAACCGCAGGAUYGUUUAAUAUACACUUUCUAAGAGUCGAGUUGUUUGGGAAUGCAGCUCUAAAUGGGUGGUAAAUUUCACCUAAUGCUAAAUAUAAGCGAGAGACCGAUAGCGAACAAGUACCGUGAGGGAAAGAUGAAAAGAACUUUGAAAAGAGAGUUAAAUAGUACGUGAAAUUGUUGAAAGGGAAACGGUURAAGUCAGUCAUGCCGGCGGGAAUCAACUUAGGGGAAACUCUGAGUGCACUUCUUCGCUUGGCAGGUUAGCGUCGAUUUUGGAUGUCAUAAAAUGACUGGGGGAAGGUAGCUCUUUCGGGAGUGUUAAGCCCUURGUAGAUGUGAUGUCCGGGAUCGAGGAUUGCAACGGAUACCUUUUGGGCUARCCGCCUAGUCUCUAAUAYGAAGUUGGGUUAUGGACAGCACGCUGACUGUGAUCUGAUUUUCGGUUAAA
This 572-nucleotide ribosomal RNA is filed under the name Glomeromycotina sp. Its description in RNAcentral is "eukaryotic LSU rRNA". It matches the Rfam family "Eukaryotic large subunit ribosomal RNA", at positions 110 to 621 of the family's 3401-position model. Lineage: Eukaryota; Fungi; Glomeromycota. The record is from RNAcentral.